GUCUCAGUAGUAUAACGGUUAGAACAGACCCUUCACACGGGUCAGAUAAGGGUUCGAUUCCCUUCUGGGACA
Tritrichomonas foetus is the source of this 72-nucleotide transfer RNA. It matches the Rfam family "tRNA". From Rfam's summary of the family: Transfer RNA (tRNA) molecules are approximately 80 nucleotides in length. Their secondary structure includes four short double-helical elements and three loops (D, anti-codon, and T loops). Further hydrogen bonds mediate the characteristic L-shaped molecular structure. tRNAs have two regions of fundamental functional importance: the anti-codon, which is responsible for specific mRNA codon recognition, and the 3' end, to which the tRNAs corresponding amino acid is attached (by aminoacyl-tRNA synthetases). tRNAs cope with the degeneracy of the genetic code in two manners: having more than one tRNA (with a specific anti-codon) for a particular amino acid; and 'wobble' base-pairing, i.e. permitting non-standard base-pairing at the 3rd anti-codon position. NCBI's taxonomy places the organism in Eukaryota, Parabasalia, Tritrichomonadida, Tritrichomonadidae. The record is from Rfam.